GAUGAACGCUGGCGGCGUGCUUAACACAUGCAAGUCGAACGAUGAAGCCCAGCUUGCUGGGUGGAUUAGUGGCGAACGGGUGAGUAACACGUGAGUAACAUGCCCUUGACUCUGGGAUAAGACUGGGAAACAGGGUCUAAUACUGGAUAUGACUUCUCAUCGCAUGGUGGGGGGUGGAAAGAUUUAUUGGUCUUGGAUGGACUCGCGGCCUAUCAGCUUGUUGGUGUGGUAAUGGCUCACCAAGGCGACGACGGGUAGCCGGCCUGAGAGGGUGACCGGCCACACUGGGACUGAGACACGGCCCAGACUCCUACGGGAGGCAGCAGUGGGGAAUAUUGCACAAUGGGCGCAAGCCUGAUGCAGCGACGCCGCGUGCGGGAUGACGGCCUUCGGGUUGUAAACCUCUUUCAGUAGUGAAGAAGCGAGAGUGACGGUACCUGCAGAAGAAGCGCCGGCUAACUACGUG
Molecule: ribosomal RNA, 466 nt
Filed under: uncultured bacterium
Lineage: Bacteria
Description: partial 16S ribosomal RNA
Rfam family: Bacterial small subunit ribosomal RNA
Source: RNAcentral